Molecule: ribosomal RNA, 966 nt
Filed under: uncultured prokaryote
Description: bacterial SSU rRNA
Rfam family: Bacterial small subunit ribosomal RNA
Source: RNAcentral
UGAUAUUAGCAGAAGAGGAAGGGACGGCUAACUCCGUGCCAGCAGCCGCGGUAAUACGGAGGGUGCAAGCGUUAUCCGGAUUUAUUAGGUUUAAAGGGUUCGCAGGCGGAAUUUUAAGUCAGUGGUGAAAGCCUACAGCUCAACUGUAGAACUGCCAUUGAAACUGAUAUUCUUGAGUAUAGAUGAAGUGGGCGGAAUAUGUCAUGUAGCGGUGAAAUGCAUAGAUAUGACAUGGAACACCAAUUGCGAAGGCAGCUCACUAAACUAUUACUGACGCUCAUGAACGAAAGCGUGGGGAGCGAACAGGAUUAGAUACCCUGGUAGUCCACGCCGUAAACUAUGAUCACUAGAUGUUGGCGAUAUACUGUCAGUGUUUUAGAGAAAUCGUUAAGUGAUCCACCUGGGGAGUACGUUCGCAAGAAUGAAACUCAAAGGAAUUGACGGGGGCCCGCACAAGCGGAGGAACAUGUGGUUUAAUUCGAUGAUACGCGAGGAACCUUACCAAGGCUUAAAUGUAGAUUGACAGAUUGUGAAAACAGUUUUUCUUCGGACAAUUUACAAGGUGCUGCAUGGUUGUCGUCAGCUCGUGCCGUGAGGUGUCGGGUUAAGUCCCAUAACGAGCGCAACCCCUAUUUUUAGUUGCCAGCGAGUAAUGUCGGGAACUCUAGAAAGACUGCCUGUGUAAACAGUGAGGAAGGUGGGGAUGACGUCAAAUCAUCACGGCCCUUAUGUCUUGGGCUACACACGUGUUACAAUGGUUACUACAGUGGGCUGCCAUCUGGCAACAGAGAGCAAAUCCAUAAAGGUAAUCCCAGUUCGGAUCGGAGUCUGCAACUCGACUCCGUGAAGUUGGAUUCGCUAGUAAUCGUAUAUCAGCAAUGAUACGGUGAAUACGUUCCCGGGCCUUGUACACACCGCCCGUCAAGCCAUGGAAGUUUGUGGUGCCUGAAGUCAGUAACCGAAAGG